RNAcentral lists this ribosomal RNA (253 nucleotides) under uncultured bacterium. Its description in RNAcentral is "partial 16S ribosomal RNA". It matches the Rfam family "Bacterial small subunit ribosomal RNA", at positions 524 to 776 of the family's 1533-position model. The record is from RNAcentral.
UACGAAGGGGGCUAGCGUUGUUCGGAAUUACUGGGCGUAAAGCGCACGUAGGCGGAUCUUUAAGUCAGAGGUGAAAUCCCAAGGCUCAACCUUGGAACUGCCUUUGAUACUGGGGAUCUUGAGUCCGGAAGAGGUGAGUGGAACUGCGAGUGUAGAGGUGAAAUUCGUAGAUAUUCGCAAGAACACCAGUGGCGAAGGCGGCUCACUGGUCCGGUACUGACGCUGAGGAGCGAAAGCAUGGGGAGCGAACAGG